AUGAGUCAAGGGGCAGGAUCGGAGAAAGGCCAAAGAGAGGUUCAGGUCGGCUCUAGGGCGGAAGCUUCGACGGUUGAAGGCCGGGUUGGGUGUUGGGGUAUUCCCUCUAUCUGUCUCGCUGAUGUUGUGAUGGCGGCGCAAGUCUGGUCAUUGGGGAGGAGAGGUGAGGACGUCACAGAUGGAUGGAAGCGGCAACAGAAGCAGAUUAAUUUUUCAAUCAUUUCUGGAUCGUCAAACUUGCACAAGUACAACAAGCGAUUCAAAGAAAGAAUGAUACACGGGCUAACUUAUGUGAACGAGAAGCUUGAUUGA
RNAcentral lists this ribosomal RNA (312 nucleotides) under Triticum aestivum (bread wheat). RNAcentral's name for it is "partial small subunit ribosomal RNA". The record is from RNAcentral. Lineage: Eukaryota; Viridiplantae; Streptophyta; Magnoliopsida; Poales; Poaceae.